AACGAACGCUGGCGGCAUGCCUAACACAUGCCAGUCGAACGAGACCUUCGGGUCUAGUGGCGCACGGGUGCGUAACGCGUGGGAACCUGCCCUUAGGUUCGGAAUAACUCCCCGAAAGGGGUGCUAAUACCGGAUAAUGUCUUCGGACCAAGGAUUUAUCGCCUUUGGAUGGGCCCGCGUUGGAUUAGCUAGUUGGUAGGGUAAAAGCCUACCAAGGCGACGAUCCAUAGCUGGUCUGAGAGGAUGAUCAGCCACACUGGGACUGAGACACGGCCCAGACUCCUACGGGAGGCAGCAGUGGGGAAUAUUGGACAAUGGGCGAAAGCCUGAUCCAGCAAUGCCGCGUGAGUGAUGAAGGCCUUAGGGUUGUAAAGCUCUUUUACCCGGGAUGAUAAUGACAGUACCGGGAGAAUAAGCUCCGGCUAACUCCGUG
Molecule: ribosomal RNA, 433 nt
Filed under: uncultured bacterium
Lineage: Bacteria
Description: partial 16S ribosomal RNA
Rfam family: Bacterial small subunit ribosomal RNA
Source: RNAcentral